This 408-nucleotide ribosomal RNA is filed under the name uncultured bacterium. Its description in RNAcentral is "partial 16S ribosomal RNA". It matches the Rfam family "Bacterial small subunit ribosomal RNA", at positions 29 to 526 of the family's 1533-position model. The record is from RNAcentral.
AGUGAACGCUGGCGGCGUGCCUAAUACAUGCAAGUCGAACGGAGUGGCGCACGGGUGAGUAAUAUAUAGCUAAUCUGCCCCUUGCUGGAGGACAACAGUUAGAAAUGACUGCUAAUACUCCAUAGCAAGGGAUGAGACUAUAUCGUAUCAGCUAGUCGGUGGGGUAAAGGCCUACCGAGGCGAUGACGCGUAACUGGUCUGAGAGGAUGAUCAGUCACAUUGUACUGGAGCCACGGUCAAAGAGCCUACGGGAGGCAGCAGUAGGGAAUAUGGCCCAAUGGGGGAAACCCUGACGCAGCUACGCCGCGUGGAGGAUGGCACUUUUCGGAGAGUAAACUCCUUUUGUUAGGGAAGCGGUACCUAACGAAUAAGCACCGGCUAACUCCGUGCCAGCCGCCGCGGUAAUAC